Molecule: ribosomal RNA, 267 nt
Filed under: uncultured bacterium
Lineage: Bacteria
Description: partial 16S ribosomal RNA
Rfam family: Bacterial small subunit ribosomal RNA
Source: RNAcentral
GCAAGUCGAGCGGUAACAGGAAUUAGCUUGCUAAUUCGCUGACGAGCGGCGGACGGGGGAGUAAUGCCGGGGAAUAUGCCUUAGUGUGGGGGAUAACUAUUGGAAACGAUAGCUAAUACCGCAUAAUGUUUUUGUUCAUUACGCACAGGAACCAAAGAGGGGGAUCUUCGGACCUCUCGCGCUAAGAUUAGCCCAGGUGGGAUUAGCUUGUUGGUGAGGUAAGAGCUCACCAAGGCGACGAUCUCUAGCUGGUCUGAGAGGAUGAUC